This 334-nucleotide unclassified non-coding RNA is filed under the name soil metagenome. Its description in RNAcentral is "partial contains 5.8S ribosomal RNA, internal transcribed spacer 2, and large subunit ribosomal RNA". The stretch from base 1 to 120 matches the Rfam family "5.8S ribosomal RNA", at positions 35 to 154 of the family's 154-position model. The record is from RNAcentral.
GAUGAAGAACGUAGCGAAAUGCGAUACGUAAUGUGAAUUGCAGAAUUCAGUGAAUCAUCGAAUCUUUGAACGCACAUUGCGCCUGCCAGCACUCUGGCAGGCAUGCCUGUUCGAGCGUCAUUUCAACCAUCAAGCCCUAGGCUUGCGUUGGAGCCCUGCGGCUGCCGCAGGCCCCUACAAGCAGUGGCGGGCUCGCUAUCACACCGAGUGCAGUAGAUUACUCUUCGCUCAGGGCGUGUGGCGGGUUCCAGCCGUGAAACCCCCUACUUCUCAAGGUUGACCUCGGAUCAGGUAGGAAUACCCGCUGAACUUAAGCAUAUCAAUAAGCGGAGGA